AAAAAAAAUUAGCCGGGCAUCGUAACACACGCCUGUAAUCCCAGCUACGCAGGAGGCUGAGGCAAGAGAAUCGCUUGAACCCAGGAAGUGGAGGCUGCAGUGAGCCAAGAUCAUACCACGGCACUCCAGACUGGGCAAUAGAGUGAGACUCCAUCUCAAAAAAAAAAAAAUAGACACAAGGGAACGUGCUAAGGCAACUCCUGGUACCAGUACCACUUCUUGGCCUGUUAGGAACCGGGAGGUUCAGCAGGAAGUGAGCAGCGGGCAGGAAGGUGAAGUUUCAUCUGUAUUUACAGCCACUCCCCAUCGCUCGCAUUACCGCCUGAGCUCCGUCUCCUGUCAGAUCAACUGCGCAAACCCUAUUGUGAACCGCGCAUGCGAGGGAUCUAGGUUGUUUGCUCCUUAUGAGAAUCUAAUGCCUGAUGAUCUGCCACUGUCUCUCAUCGCCCCCAGACAGGACCCUCUAGUUGCAGGAAAACAGGCUCAGGGUUCCCACUGAUUCUACAUUAUGAAAGUUGUAGAAUUAUUUCAUUCUAUGUUAUAAUGUAAUAAUAAUAGAAAUAUAAUGCACAAUAAAUGUAAUCUGCUUGAAUCAUCUCAAAACCAUCUCCCCGACCCGGGCCCACGGAGAAAUUAUCUUCCACGAAACUGGUCCCUGGUUCCAAAAAGCUUAGGGACUGCUGUUCUAAGGGGCUAGGGAGGUUCUGUUUCUUGACCUGAGCGGUAGGCACGUGGGUGAGUUCACUUUCAUCCUUUCACAGUCCUGCUUUGCACGUUUUUCUGUCUACAUGCUAUACUCCAAUACACAUCUCAAAAGACAAUUACAUAUGUGUGUGUUAGACAGAAAGAAGGAAGAGGGCAGGGAGAGAAAACCACCGCAUUCAAGCAUCGCCGCCUCUAGGUGUAAGGUUCAUUCCAGGACUGCCUGGAGUUGGUGACUUUGCAUUCCUGCAGAGGAAACCCACUUCCUUUGCCUGUGUUCUCGGGCCGACUUCCCAUAUCUGCUGACCAGAAAUCCUUCCUUGCAGCCGCCCCUGUAACGGGGCUGGCAUUUGCAAUUCGAAAGUGUCUUUGGCCUUGUUUUUCCGAGGAAAUGAAAACGCUAUGCGUUAUCAGCAUAUCAUCCAACAAUUUAUCAUCACGUUGGCACCUGACAAUGUUGAUUUAUGAUUCCAGCAGGAAGAGCAGCCCUCCAACCCCCCACCAGUUCAGAAAUGGAGACAUCGAGGAGUCCUGAGCACAGGCAGGAGAGACUAUGAAGUUAUCGUAGACUCGAUGUCCACAAGUGCCGGUGAGAAUGACUGUGCAGAGACCAUCUGAGCUCCCUGCAGAUCUCACGACUCUUUUCCUCCUCCCCUUGCUCCCGGGUGCUUUGUCUCUCACACUCGGCCCCUGUGGAGCUGUUCUGCCUAUGCAAGCAGAAAUUGAGAGGUGCCUGGGGUUCCUGUCCCCCCAGCCAGCUCUUAGCCAAUGGCGAGCAGAUUCCAGAAAGUGAAAGCCCCGCUCCCUUUGCCUGAGUCUGGACAGACCCUGGGGCAUAACUUACGCUGCAGUGCCUUCCUGCAGGAUUGGGCCAAAGCCACCCCAGGGGGAUUUUGCCAAAGGACCUUACUCUGGCUUGGCUCCUGGGUCCCCUCCUCCUACUCCCUUCCAGACCUCCCGGGACCACGGCAUUCCUACGUGGCUUGCACACAAUUCCUUACCACAGAGUUUGCUUCUGGGGAACCUGACCUAAAACCGAGGGGAAAAUGGAUUCUAGCAUUUUUCAGAUUCAGAAACGGGAGACCCAAAUGGCCCGGGCCUCCCGCCUCCCGCACACAGGCCUGUGUAUCAAGUUUCUGCAAGCACAAGCAAGAGGCUUGCAACGUGUUUGCAAGCAGUCAUCAUCAUUUCCAGGAUUGGCUAUGACUCGGGUUGCAAUGUUUUAUUUCAGUUCACAGACAGACACAGGCCACACUCCAGGGCUCAUGCCCACAUCCGUAGCUUGGAACUCGAGAUGCACUGUCUAGGAUGGCCAACAUCAGGACGGCACCCACCAGCAGACAAGCCUGUUCCCAGAAUAGCCUUCUUUUUUAUUUUUUUGAGACAGGGUCUGGCUUUGUGGCCCAGGCUGGAGUGCAGUGGUGCAAUCAUAGCUCACUGCAGCCUUGACCUCCUGGGCUCAAGUGAUCCUCCCACCUCAGCCCCCCAGCCCCAGUAGCUGGGACCACAGGCAUGC
Molecule: long non-coding RNA, 2218 nt
Filed under: Homo sapiens (human)
Lineage: Eukaryota; Metazoa; Chordata; Mammalia; Primates; Hominidae
Description: HSALNT0118135
Source: RNAcentral